RNAcentral lists this ribosomal RNA (491 nucleotides) under uncultured bacterium. RNAcentral describes it as "partial 16S ribosomal RNA". It matches the Rfam family "Bacterial small subunit ribosomal RNA", at positions 28 to 507 of the family's 1533-position model. The record is from RNAcentral.
GAUGAACGCUGGCUAUAGGCUUAACACAUGCAAGUCGAGGGGAAACGACGGGGAAGCUUGCUUCCCCGGGCGUCGACCGGCGCACGGGUGAGUAACGCGUAUCCAACCUGCCUCUGACUGAGGGAUAACCCGUCGAAAGUCGGCCUAAUACCUCAUGGUAUCGUCUGCGGGCAUCCAACGACGAUUAAAGAUUUCAUCGGUCAGGGAUGGGGAUGCGUCUGAUUAGCUUGUUGGCGGGGUAACGGCCCACCAAGGCUACGAUCAGUAGGGGUUCUGAGAGGAAGGUCCCCCACAUUGGAACUGAGACACGGUCCAAACUCCUACGGGAGGCAGCAGUGAGGAAUAUUGGUCAAUGGGCGAGAGCCUGAACCAGCCAAGUAGCGUGCAGGAGGACGGCCCUAUGGGUUGUAAACUGCUUUUAUGCGGGGAUAAAGUGAGGGACGUGUCCCUCAUUGCAGGUACCGCAUGAAUAAGGACCGGCUAAUUCCGUG